Molecule: ribosomal RNA, 301 nt
Filed under: uncultured bacterium
Lineage: Bacteria
Description: partial 16S ribosomal RNA
Rfam family: Bacterial small subunit ribosomal RNA
Source: RNAcentral
CAGCAUCCGCGGUAACACGUAGGUGGCAAGCGUUGUCCGGAAUUAUUGGGCGUAAAGCGCGCGUAGGUGGUUUUUUAAGUCUGAUGUGAAAGCCCACGGCUCAACCGUGGAGGGUCAUUGGAAACUGGAAAACUUGAGUGCAGAAGAGGAAAGUGGAAUUCCAUGUGUAGCGGUGAAAUGCGCAGAGAUAUGGAGGAACACCAGUGGCGAAGGCGACUUUCUGGUCUGUAACUGACGCUGAUGUGCGAAGGCGUGGGGAUCAAACAGGAUUAGAUACCCCGGUAGUCCCUGUCUCUUAUAA